Poecile atricapillus (Black-capped chickadee) is the source of this 913-nucleotide long non-coding RNA. RefSeq lists it as uncharacterized. The transcript is spliced from 3 exons. The record is from RefSeq and is a predicted model, not a curated record. NCBI's taxonomy places the organism in Eukaryota, Metazoa, Chordata, Aves, Passeriformes, Paridae.
GGCGGCGGUGCCCGCCCCCCAGGCGGUGGGCGGUGAGACAGGGAAAUAUCUGGGAAACGUGGGAAAGUGGCAGUCGGGUGUUGGGUAAAAGUGGUCACCCCGGGUAUUUUCGCUGGCGCGAUAAUAUUCCGCGGCCUCGGAGCGGUUCCGGGGAGGGUCCCGUGCUGAUUUUUUUGCUGCGUAAUCUGUCCGGCGGAGGUUUCGCUUCCUCGGCUGCCCAGAGAGAUGUGUGACUGCCCGCACCCCGAGCACUGAGCCAGAGCUGUGGGACCCUCGCCUCCCCACGGCGGCCUCAAGGGAGAUGUUUUCCGGAGAGAAAUGUUUUCCUGCCCCGUGUCAUUUUUCUCAGUUUCACCUUGUUAAAAACCUCACGAAAUCGUAGCAGUUUUUACAUCCCUGCUCCCGCUCCGUUGUUACUGAUUUAAACCAAAGUUCCCGGCUGAUUUUUCACUUGGUUUCCACCAUAAAUCAUCUUGUUUUGGAAUCAAACAACUGCCAAUGAUGACAAGAAGAGGGGAAAAAGGCAGAUUGCCUCUCUGGACAGCAAUUAGUUGCUAAAAUGUCUUCCCUGCAUUGGUGAUUGAAGAGCACAGCACUACAGAGUCUAGGCAAAAUACUCAUCUGAUUAUGCUAGAGGUAAGUCAGCUUUUUACUAUGGACAUUAGUUCAUGAGGAAAAUAUUAUAAAUCCCAUGCAUGGCAAGACUCAAACUUUCCCCUGCCCCCAUGAAACAGUUAUAAAUGUCUGUAAUGUUACAGAACUAAAAAAAUAAAAGUAGCAUCAUUCUACUAAAAAUCACUGUAUAGACCACUGAUGCUACUGAAAUAUUGCAGUGAAUGCAAUUCUUUCUUUCUGCCAGCAUCUUCCACAUGCAAAGGGGCAAUACAAUUUAUUACCUAAGCACCAGAAAAAU